GUGAGUCAUCGAAUCUUUGAACGCACAUUGCGCCCCUUGGUAUUCCAUGGGGCAUGCCUGUUCGAGCGUCAUUUGUACCCUCAAGCUCUGCUUGGUGUUGGGUGUUUGUCCCGCUGCAUGCGUGGACUCGCCUCAAAACAAUUGGCAGCCGGCAUAUUAGUCCUGGAGCGCAGCACAUUUUGCAAUCCAGCCUAGAAUGUUGGCAACCACAAGCCUAAUUUUUUACGCUUGACCUCGGAUCAGGUAGGGAUACCCGCUGAACUUAAGCAUAUCAAUAAGCGGAGGA
This 286-nucleotide unclassified non-coding RNA is filed under the name Leptosphaeria sp. RNAcentral's name for it is "partial contains 5.8S ribosomal RNA, internal transcribed spacer 2, and large subunit ribosomal RNA". The stretch from base 1 to 71 matches the Rfam family "5.8S ribosomal RNA", at positions 84 to 154 of the family's 154-position model. The record is from RNAcentral. Lineage: Eukaryota; Fungi; Ascomycota; Dothideomycetes; Pleosporales; Leptosphaeriaceae.